UAGGGAAUCUUCCACAAUGGACGCAAGUCUGAUGGAGCAACGCCGCGUGAGUGAAGAAGGUUUUCGGACCGUAAAGCUCUGUUGUUGGUGAAGAAGGAUAGAGGUAGUAACUGGCCUUUAUUUGACGGUAAUCAACCAGAAAGUCACGGCUAACUACGUGCCAGCAGCCGCGGUAAUACGUAGGUGGCAAGCGUUGUCCGGAUUUAUUGGGCGUAAAGCGAGCGCAGGCGGAAGAAUAAGUCUGAUGUGAAAGCCCUCGGCUUAACCGAGGAAUUGCAUCGGAAACUGUUUUUCUUGAGUGCAGAAGAGGAGAGUAGAACUCCAUGUGUAGCGGUGGAAUGCGUAGAUAUAUGGAAGAAUACCAGUGGCGAAGGCGGCUCUCUGGCCUGCAACUGACGCUGAGGCUCGAAAGCAUGGGUAGCGAACAGGAUUAGAUACCCUGGUAGUCCAUGCCGUAAACGAUGAGUGCUAAGUGUUGGGAGGCUUCCGCCUCUCAGUGCUGCAGCUAACGCAUUAAGCACUCCGCCUGGGGGAGUACGACCGCAAGGUUGAAAC
Molecule: ribosomal RNA, 555 nt
Filed under: uncultured bacterium
Lineage: Bacteria
Description: partial 16S ribosomal RNA
Rfam family: Bacterial small subunit ribosomal RNA
Source: RNAcentral